RNAcentral lists this small RNA (365 nucleotides) under Cryptococcus neoformans H99. RNAcentral describes it as "Cryptococcus neoformans var. grubii H99 hypothetical RNA". The record is from RNAcentral. Lineage: Eukaryota; Fungi; Basidiomycota; Tremellomycetes; Tremellales; Cryptococcaceae.
CAACUGUCCUUUGGGCUGAUCGGAUCAGUUUUCAUUGAAAGGGUCCACCGCGCUAUCCAUCAAGCCGAUGAACACAUUCUGCAGCGCCACGGCACAUCACUCCAUGGGCAUCGCCAUCAGAAACUCUUCUUCUCAUCUACUGAUAGCCUUGAAUGGGAAAACCUGGGCGGAACACAGAGCGUAUUAACUUCCAAGCAGGGUUGCAUGUUGCACGUGUUGUAUGAUAAUAGGAGGUAACUAAGAUAGGAUGUAACAGAUAACGAAAAGUCUGAAGCGUCGGACAUUCAUCAAUCUACUAUCGAUGAUCAUGAGUGAUGGAUUGGAUUGAUUAAAUCCCGUCAUGAUCAAGGCAGCCAUCGUUCGGC